UGCCUGAAGCAAAUAAAAUUCCAGGUAGACCCUGCCCAAUGACUCCCAGUUCAAUGGCCGCGGUAACUCGUGCAAAGGUAGCAAAAUAAUUCGCCUCCUAAUUAGAGGCUAGUAUGAAAGGGCUAACGAAAAGGCCCUGUCUCUGCUGGGCUAAUAAAAACUAUCUACCAAGUGAAAAGCCUUGGAUUCUUAUAGAAGACAAGAAGACCCUGUCGUACUUAACCCUAAGUAAAUUCAUUAAAUUUACAAAAGGUUUGGUUGGGACGACCUUUAACUAUAAACGCUAUUACUAAUUAAGAAACCCAACUCUCCUCACUGACCCUUCUAAAGAUCAAUGAACAAGUAACCGCAGGGAUAACAGGCUAAUUUCCUUCUAGAGCCCAUAUCAACAAGGAAGUUUGGCACCUCGAUGUUGGCUUAGGAACUCUAAUAGGCGCAGCAGCUUAUUACAGAAGGUUUGUUCAACCUUUAAUAUCCU
RNAcentral lists this ribosomal RNA (478 nucleotides) under Echiuroidea sp. RCMB0474. Its description in RNAcentral is "partial 16S ribosomal RNA". It matches the Rfam family "Bacterial large subunit ribosomal RNA", at positions 1867 to 2597 of the family's 2925-position model. RNAcentral also lists the same sequence under 2 other names. The record is from RNAcentral. Lineage: Eukaryota; Metazoa; Annelida; Polychaeta; Echiuroidea.